GAUGAACGCUGGCGGCGUGCCUAAUACAUGCAAGUCGAGCGAACGGACGAGAAGCUUGCUUUUCUGAUGUUAGCGGCGGACGGGUGAGUAACACGUGGAUAACCUACCUAUAAGACUGGGAUAACUUCGGGAAACCGGAGCUAAUACCGGAUAAUAUUUUGAACCGCAUGGUUCAAAAGUGAAAGACGGUCUUGCUGUCACUUAUAGAUGGAUCCGCGCUGCAUUAGCUAGUUGGUAAGGUAACGGCUUACCAAGGCAACGAUGCAUAGCCGAUCUGAGAGGGUGAUCGGCCACACUGGAACUGAGACACGGUCCAGACUCCUACGGGAGGCAGCAGUAGGGAAUCUUCCGCAAUGGGCGAAAGCCUGACGGAGCAACGCCGCGUGAGUGAUGAAGGUCUUCGGAUCGUAAAACUCUGUUAUUAGGGAAGAACAUAUGUGUAAGUAACUGUGCACAUCUUGACGGUACCUAAUCAGAAAGCCACGGCUAACUACGUG
This 497-nucleotide ribosomal RNA is filed under the name uncultured bacterium. RNAcentral describes it as "partial 16S ribosomal RNA". It matches the Rfam family "Bacterial small subunit ribosomal RNA", at positions 28 to 507 of the family's 1533-position model. The record is from RNAcentral.